CCUACGGGAGGCAGCAGUGGGGAAUAUUGCACAAUGGGGGAAACCCUGAUGCAGCGACGCCGCGUGAGUGAAGAAGUAUCUCGGUACGUAAAGCUCUAUCAGCAGGGAAGAAAAUGACGGUACCUGACUAAGAAGCCCCGGCUAACUACGUGCCAGCAGCCGCGGUAAUACGUAGGGGGCAAGCGUUAUCCGGAUUUACUGGGUGUAAGGGGAGCGGAGACGGCAGUACAAGUCUGGAGUGAAAUCCCGGGGCUUAACCGCGGAAGUGCAUUGGAAACUGGGCGGCUGGAGUGCAGAAGGGGUGAGCGGAAUUCCAGGUGUAGCGGUGAAAUGCGGAGAUAGUAGGAAGAACACCAGUGGCGAAGGCGGCUCACUGGACUGUAACUGACGUUGAGGCUCGAAAGCGUGGGGAGCAAACAGGAUUAGAUACCCCAGUAGUC
RNAcentral lists this ribosomal RNA (440 nucleotides) under uncultured bacterium. RNAcentral describes it as "partial 16S ribosomal RNA". It matches the Rfam family "Bacterial small subunit ribosomal RNA", at positions 338 to 795 of the family's 1533-position model. The record is from RNAcentral.